RNAcentral lists this ribosomal RNA (400 nucleotides) under uncultured bacterium. RNAcentral describes it as "bacterial SSU rRNA". It matches the Rfam family "Bacterial small subunit ribosomal RNA", at positions 355 to 770 of the family's 1533-position model. The record is from RNAcentral.
UAGGGAAUAUUGCGCAAUGGGGGAAACCCUGACGCAGCGACGCCGCGUGAGUGAUGAAGGCCUUCGGGUCGUAAAGCUCUGUUGCAAGGGAAAAAUUUUUGAUUGUACCUUGCGAGGAAGGAUCGGCUAACUUCGUGCCAGCAGCCGCGGUAAGACGAGGGAUCCUAGCGUUGUUCGGAAUCAUUGGGCGUAAAGCGGGUGCAGGUGGCUUUGUAAGUCAGGUGUGAAAGCCCAGGGCUCAACCCUGGAAGUGCAUUUGAUACUGCGAAGCUUGAGUGCUGGAGAGGCUACUAGAAUACCUGGUGUAGUGGUGAAAUACGUAGAUAUCAGGUGGAAUACCGGAGGCGAAGGCGGGUAGCCAGCCAGACACUGACACUCAGACCCGAAAGCGUGGGGAUCA